This 120-nucleotide ribosomal RNA is filed under the name uncultured bacterium. Its description in RNAcentral is "partial 16S ribosomal RNA". It matches the Rfam family "Bacterial small subunit ribosomal RNA", at positions 29 to 149 of the family's 1533-position model. The record is from RNAcentral.
AACGAACGUUAGCGGCGCGCCUAAUACAUGCAAGUCGAGCGAGAAAGGGCUUCGGCCCCGGUAAAGCGGCGCACGGGUGAGUAACACGUAGGCAAUCUGCCCUCGAGUGGUGGAUAACCC